This is a non-coding RNA of Pelobates cultripes (western spadefoot toad), 229 nucleotides long. Lineage: Eukaryota; Metazoa; Chordata; Amphibia; Anura; Pelobatidae. The record is from the annotation of a GenBank genome assembly.
CAGAGGUGCUACUCAGCAGUCCUGUGCCGAUGUAUCUGAAUCCUACGGCAUGUUAAUAGACACCAACCUCUGUGGAUUGAUUCCCAUUUGUAACCCCACAUCCUCCCACAUUAAUGACGACGUUGACGUGCGCGUAACGUCACACCAUGAACUCACACGCACGUUCUGGGGUCAAAGGCCGGUUAUGGCCAAUCGGAUCCACAAGAGGGUUAUUUAACGUAGCUAUUCC